This 253-nucleotide ribosomal RNA is filed under the name uncultured bacterium. RNAcentral's name for it is "partial 16S ribosomal RNA". It matches the Rfam family "Bacterial small subunit ribosomal RNA", at positions 524 to 776 of the family's 1533-position model. The record is from RNAcentral.
UACAGAGGGGGCAAGCGUUGUUCGGAAUUACUGGGCGUAAAGGGUGCGUAGGCGGAUUUCUAAGUCAGGGGUGAAAUCCUGGAGCUCAACUCCAGAACUGCCUUUGAUACUGGGAAUCUCGAGUCCGGGAGAGGUGAGUGGAACUGCGAGUGUAGAGGUGAAAUUCGUAGAUAUUCGCAAGAACACCAGUGGCGAAGGCGGCUCACUGGCCCGGUACUGACGCUGAGGUGCGAAAGCGUGGGGAGCAAACAGG